AUUGAACGCUGGCGGCAGGCCUAACACAUGCAAGUCGAGCGGAUGAAGGGAGCUUGCUCCUGGAUUCAGCGGCGGACGGGUGAGUAGUGCCUAGGAAUCUGCCUGGUAGUGGGGGAUAACGUCCGGAAACGGGCGCUAAUACCGCAUACGUCCUGAGGGAGAAAGUGGGGGAUCUUCGGACCUCACGCUAUCAGAUGAGCCUAGGUCGGAUUAGCUAGUUGGUGGGGUAAAGGCCUACCAAGGCGACGAUCCGUAACUGGUCUGAGAGGAUGAUCUGUCACACUGGAACUGAGACACGGUCCAGACUCCUACGGGAGGCAGCAGUGGGGAAUAUUGGACAAAGGGCGAAAGCCUGAUCCAGCCAUGCCGCGUGUGUGAAGAAGGUCUUCGGAUUGUAAAGCACUUUAAGUUGGGAGGAAGGGCAGUAAGUUAAUACCUUGCUGUUUUGACGUUACCAACAGAAUAAGCACCGGCUAACUUCGUG
RNAcentral lists this ribosomal RNA (484 nucleotides) under uncultured bacterium. Its description in RNAcentral is "partial 16S ribosomal RNA". It matches the Rfam family "Bacterial small subunit ribosomal RNA", at positions 30 to 507 of the family's 1533-position model. The record is from RNAcentral.